CAAGUCGAGGGAUUGAUGGGAGCUUGCUCCUUGAUCAGCGGCGGACGGGUGAGUAACACGUGGGCAACCUUCUGUAAGACUGGGAUAACUUCGGGAAACCGGAGCUAAUACCGGAUAAUCCAUUCCCUCUCAUGAGGGAAUGCUGAAAGAUGGCGUCACGCUAUCACUUACAGAUGGGCCCGCGGCGCAUUAGCUAGUUGGUGAGGUAACGGCUCACCAAGGCGACGAUGCGUAGCCGACCUGAGAGGGUGAUCGGCCACACUGGGACUGAGACACGGCCCAGACUCCUACGGGAGGCAGCAGUAGGGAAUCUUCCGCAAUGGACGAAAGUCUGACGGAGCAACGCCGCGUGAGUGAUGAAGGCCUUCGGGUCGUAAAGCUCUGUUGUUAGGGAAGAACAAGUAUCGGAGUAACUGCCGGUACCUUGACGGUACCUAACCAGAAAGCCACGGCUAACUACGUGCCAGCAGCCGCGGUAAUACGUAGGUGGCAAGCGUUGUCCGGAAUUAUUGGGCGUAAAGCGCGCGCAGGUGGUUUCUUAAGUCUGAUGUGAAAGCCCACGGCUCAACCGUGGAGGGUCAUUGGAAACUGGGGAACUUGAGUGCAGAAGAGGAAAGUGGAAUUCCAAGUGUAGCGGUGAAAUGCGUAGAGAUUUGGAGGAACACCAGUGGCGAAGGCGACUUUCUGGUCUGUAACUGACACUGAGGCGCGAAAGCGUGGGGAGCGAACAGGAUUAGAUACCCUGGUAGUCCACGCCGUAAACGAUGAGUGCUAAGUGUUAGAGGGUUUCCGCCCUUUAGUGCUGCAGCUAACGCAUUAAGCACUCCGCCUGGGGAGUACGGUCGCAAGACUGAAACUCAAAGGAAUUGACGGGGGCCCGCACAAGCGGUGGAGCAUGUGGUUUAAUUCGAAGCGACGCGAAGAACCUUACCAGGUCUUGACAUCCCACUGCCCGGUAUAGAGAUAUACCUUUCCCUUCGGGGACAGUGGUGACAGGUGGUGCAUGGUUGUCGUCAGCUCGUGUCGUGAGAUGUUGGGUUAAGUCCCGCAACGAGCGCAACCCA
This 1064-nucleotide ribosomal RNA is filed under the name uncultured Bacillus sp. RNAcentral's name for it is "bacterial SSU rRNA". It matches the Rfam family "Bacterial small subunit ribosomal RNA", at positions 58 to 1105 of the family's 1533-position model. Lineage: Bacteria; Bacillati; Bacillota; Bacilli; Caryophanales; Bacillaceae. The record is from RNAcentral.